This is a long non-coding RNA of Limulus polyphemus (Atlantic horseshoe crab), 297 nucleotides long. RefSeq lists it as uncharacterized. NCBI's taxonomy places the organism in Eukaryota, Metazoa, Arthropoda, Merostomata, Xiphosura, Limulidae. The transcript has 3 exons. The record is from RefSeq and is a predicted model, not a curated record.
GAUGUGCUUCAGCUGCUGUAGCGACGGGAACAUAGCUGUUUGGGAUCUUCACAACCAAGCACUUGUGCGCAUCCAUUUCGAAAACAAUUGGGAUAUUUUUAGACAAUUCCAAGGUCACACUAACGGAGCCAGUUGUAUCGACAUAUCUAACGAUGGAACCAAGCUUUGGACUGGUGGCCUAGAUAACACAAUAAGGUCCUGGGACCUGAGAGAAGGUCGGCAAUUACAACAACAUGACUUUACAUCACAAAUAUUUUCGUUAGGAUACUGUCCAACUGGAGACUGGCUUGCCGUGGG